RNA transcript from Cryptotermes secundus, 2050 nucleotides. It is a transcript of the gene named mediator of RNA polymerase II transcription subunit 11, with no coding region annotated. Lineage: Eukaryota; Metazoa; Arthropoda; Insecta; Blattodea; Kalotermitidae. The record is from RefSeq and is a predicted model, not a curated record. The transcript has 4 exons.
GCACAGUAUUCAAGACAAUGUGUGAUUGCAUGGAAGGAAUACUAUGAAGUGUUAAAUUAAUUUCUAUAUUUGUAAUUUUGUUAAACACUGUUCACGUGUUAUAUAGAAAAAUUAAUUUCGAUACUGUAACAAUGACGGCCCCAAUGGAAAGAAUACAGGUUUUGGAUUCAAUUGAGAAAGAUAUUAUAACAUGUCUGCAGAGUGCAGGUCAAGCACUUAUUGAACUAAGUAAAGAAAAGUCCAGUCUGAAACAAGCAGAAAGCCAGACUCAUCAGUUUCUGAAGACUUUAGGUCAUGUUGAAUCCAAACUUACUGAACAGAUCAACUACCUGACACAAGUUUCAACAGGUCAGCCUCAUGAAGGCUCUGGUUAUGCUUCACAGAAGGUUCUCCAAAUGGCAUGGCAUCGAUUAGAACAUGUUCGCAGUAGAGUCAAUGAACUGGAACGAAUUAAAAACAAACAUUUACAGGGAAGGGCCCUGUUGCGUCCCCAGCCACAGCUCACCCAGAGUCAACAGAAUGGAACACAGCCAGUUGGAAGUGCCACUGGUGCAGGAACAACUGGGUAGAACGUAAGACACCAAGGAAUUGUACUGAGAAACAGUUCAUCUUAUGCCUCAAGGAGCAAAAUGAGUAUUUACAUUUCUGCAUCUUGUCAAGAGAAUACUGCAGGCCCUAAGUCAUGAUGGAGAACAAAUGUGACUGUCCAAAAAUUGGAAGAGAAGCGUGGAGAAAGACUGCAGAGAAGUAACGUCAAUGACAGUAAUGGAAAGACUAAUUCUUGGAUUGACAGUUGAUGGAAUUUGUUCACGAAGAAGAUAUUUCCAAAUUAUUUAUUACCUAGUAUCAUGAUUUUAUUGUUAAUUUUGGCUUCAUGACAUGUUCUUAUUCAUACUUCUGCCUGCUGCGGCUCCCAAUAAAAUCAACUCAAUUGUUUUAGGCUUGCAAUCAAAGAAGGAUGUUAUCCUGAUAUUCACACUCUGAUACAGAGCAUACUGAAGCUGUGGCUUCAAGCGGUACUGCAGAUAGACAUUAACGUUUCAUAGGAACUUACUGCUUCCAUCUUCAGGCACCAAAGUGUGGUGAGGCUGUAAGAAAGGUAGUCCCUCAGAUCAGUGGUACUGGUCAACAGGAAAAGCAAAAGCAAAAGAUUGGCCCUUAUGAGGGACACAGUUGUCAGUGCAGUUUGUAACAGUCACCAUGAAGAUGUACGUAUCUAAAAUGCUAUAUGAUCCGGACAUGCAAUGCAGCAAGUACAAGAUCCAUUUUUUUUUGGUUUAACAAUUCACAUCUGUAGCUCAGACUACACAGUGUCAAAUGAGAGUAUGCCAGAGAAUAAUAAAUUGGAAAGGAUGUGGAAGGAUGAAGGUGGCACCAGUCUGAAGAACUGUCCUAUUCAGGCACAUGCCCGGGGGGACUGACAAUCUCCACAAAGAACCUGUCAGGAUAGUUGGUCUCUAAGCUGAGAUUUGAACGUGGAACCUCCCAAUUAUGAAAAAAAAAUGCUACCUAUCAAACCACUAUGUUCAGUAAAGGUAAAGAAUAUGUAAAAUUAUCUCACCUUACAGAAUUCUGAAACCCUACAAAUGAUCUGCAGAGUUGUUUCAUAAGAUACAAAGAAUUACUCAGUAUAUUUUAAUAAUGUAAGAAAUAUUGCAAAAAAGAAAUUACAUCUCUUUCUUCCGCAUGUAACAUAGAUCAAAAUACUCAUCACAGAGGGUAUUACCAAAGUUUUACAAGUGAACUGCCUAGUAAUGUAUAUAUGACAUAUUUAUAUAUCAUAAACAACAAACAGGAAUGAAUGAAUCAAAAUACAGUGGAACCCCCAUUUGAUGACCCUUAAACUGAUGUUCAGUUUCAAAAGUUCCAAGUUGAUCUCAGUACUAAAUUGCCUCAAUUUAACAUUUUCCUGUUUGCUGUUGAAAUUCACUGAUCCCAAAAGAAGCGUUUAAUGGGGGGUUUCACUGUAAGUAAACAAAGUAAGUAAAGGUAUCCCUGUAACAGGCUGUGGAGGCCCAUAGGGUUGUGAGAAGUUGAGGCUCUCACAUUU